RNAcentral lists this ribosomal RNA (253 nucleotides) under uncultured bacterium. RNAcentral's name for it is "partial 16S ribosomal RNA". It matches the Rfam family "Bacterial small subunit ribosomal RNA", at positions 524 to 776 of the family's 1533-position model. The record is from RNAcentral.
UACAGAGGUCUCAAGCGUUGUUCGGAAUCACUGGGCGUAAAGCGCACGUAGGCGGACUCUUAAGUCGGUGGUGAAAUCCUGGAGCUCAACUCCAGAACUGCCUUCGAUACUGAGAGUCUUGAGUCCGGGAGAGGUGAGUGGAACUGCGAGUGUAGAGGUGAAAUUCGUAGAUAUUCGCAAGAACACCAGUGGCGAAGGCGGCUCACUGGCCCGGUACUGACGCUGAGGUGCGAAAGCGUGGGGAGCAAACAGG